UACGGAGGGUGCAAGCGUUAAUCGGAAUCACUGGGCGUAAAGCGUGCGUAGGCGGUUUGGCAAGCCAGACGUGAAAGCCCUCGGCUCAACCGAGGAACUGCGUUUGGAACUGCCAGACUUGAGUCCGAGAGAGGGUGGCGGAAUUCCGGGUGUAGGAGUGAAAUCCGUAGAUAUCCGGAGGAACACCGGUGGCGAAGGCGGCCGCCUGGAUCGGUACUGACGCUGAGGUACGAAAGCGUGGGGAGCAAACAGG
This 253-nucleotide ribosomal RNA is filed under the name uncultured bacterium. RNAcentral describes it as "partial 16S ribosomal RNA". It matches the Rfam family "Bacterial small subunit ribosomal RNA", at positions 524 to 776 of the family's 1533-position model. The record is from RNAcentral.